RNAcentral lists this small RNA (1818 nucleotides) under Pongo abelii (Sumatran orangutan). Its description in RNAcentral is "retained intron". Lineage: Eukaryota; Metazoa; Chordata; Mammalia; Primates; Hominidae. The record is from RNAcentral.
ACGUUCUUCAGUGUAGUUUUAAGUUAUCUUCCUUCCUGAAUUCCUUGGGAGUUUGCAAGCUCGGACUUGCCGAAAUCUUGCCAUGUUGUACGUUGGGCUGUGAACUCCUUUGAGGACUGGGUUUUCAGCAUUUCUCCAUUGCCCAGGGCUUAACACCGCGCCUGAUACCCAUUACUGCUCAAAACAAUGUUUUAUAGAAUGCAAUGGAAAAGUAAGGCUAUUAUCGCCUAGAUUUUUUUUUAAAAGAAAUUUUUUUUUAAUAGGAGAAUGUUAUGUAACAGUUAACAAACUUUGUUGGACGUUGUAUAUUAUAUAAUGAACCUGCCUUGGUAGAGGCAACACGUCUUUUGGUAAUCAGUGGCUGUAGGAGAUAGAGAUAAUUUUAAUUGCUCCUCAAACCUUAGUGUUUCAUCCUGAUUUCCAUGUGGUAUCUGAUCAUUAGGCUCUUGAAGGCCUUUUUAGCUGUGCCUUGAUUUUUCCCUUUCAUUGUUGACCUGAGACCUCUCCAGUUGGUGUGGACACAGGACUUUCCCAUGGUUUUCCUGCCUUGGCCAUUUCAUCUCUGAGCAGAGGGUGGGCAAAGUAAGGAAGAGAAGAAAUAACUAAAACUAGUCAGUUUGGUCUGUUAUUAACGGAAAAAGAUGCAAAAUAACUGCUUAUAUUAAGGCUUUUGUUUAUAUGCCUAAUAUUGAGAUGUCAGUGGAGAGUUUUGCAGAAAGGUAGUUUCUAAUGUUUAAGUCACAAAUGAAAGACAACCUCUGUAGAGUGGUUUAUAUGUAACAGAAGUUAACCUAAGCUUUUUGAGUUUGGGUAUUAUAUCAUUUUUCCCUCUCUUGUUUUUCUUCCCCCCGUUUCGUCUAUUCCCUUACUUCAGAAGGGAUUACGUUUUCUAUACAUGAUCAUCAUCCUUUUGUUUUAAGGUUAUUACGACCUAUUGCCCUGCUAACAACGAGCCAAUAGCAAGAGUCCGACAGGCUAGUGUGGCAGACUAUGAAGAAACUAUAAAGAAAGCAAGAGAAGCAUGGAAAAUCUGGGCAGAUAUUCCUGCUCCAAAACGAGGAGAAAUAGUAAGACAGAUUGGCGAUGCCUUGCGGGAGAAGAUCCAAGUACUAGGAAGCUUGGUGUCUUUGGAGAUGGGGAAAAUCUUAGUGGAAGGUGUGGGUGAAGUUCAGGAGUAUGUGGAUAUCUGUGACUAUGCUGUUGGUUUAUCAAGGAUGAUUGGAGGACCUAUCUUGCCUUCUGAAAGACCUGGCCAUGCGCUGAUUGAGCAGUGGAAUCCUGUAGGCCUGGUUGGAAUCAUCACAGCAUUCAAUUUCCCUGUGGCAGUGUAUGGUUGGAACAAUGCCAUUGCCAUGAUCUGUGGAAAUGUCUGCCUCUGGAAAGGAGCUCCAACCACUUCCCUCAUUAGUGUGGCUGUCACAAAGAUAAUAGCCAAGGUUCUGGAGGACAACAAGCUGCCUGGUGCAAUUUGUUCCUUGACUUGUGGUGGAGCAGAUAUUGGCACAGCAAUGGCCAAAGAUGAACGAGUGAACCUGCUGUCCUUCACCGGGAGCACUCAGGUGGGAAAACAGGUGGCCCUGAUGGUGCAGGAAAGGUUUGGUAAGUGUUGGCUUUCUCAUGAGGAUUUUAAUUCUCUCAAAUAUGGAGGUGAAAUCUAAAAGUUGAGUUUUUGUUUUCCCCUCAACCUUUUCCAUGGAGGCAGUGGUCAUGUUUAUUUGAAUGUCUAAGUAAAAGAAAAGGGUACAGUUAUUAGCAGUUGAAUAUUAGGGAAGUCCUAAAUUUAAAUACCAAAAUUUAUGAAAAUCCCAGCACUUUGGG